UUAUGUAAGACAUUAUGCAUCGUGUCCCAUAUGCUUCGGAUAUAGGAUCGAUUGCAAAUGCUAUAAUAUUUUACCAUUUUAAAGUUUUCCAAAUGCCUAGCGCAUUUAGAGGGAAAAGGACAAGAAUCGGUUUUGACUAAGAUAAUUAAACAACUAUCAAAGGUUAAUCCAAAGUUUGCCGAGGAUUGGUCGCUUGUGAGUGGUUGGAAGUAUAGUAUUGGAUGGACCAUAUUGACAUUAUUAUGAAUAGAAAAGAUUCUAUUAAGAAUGAGUUGUCAUAUGUAAAAUAUGGAAACGUUUCCAUAUUGGGAGUUGGAUAUUGAGUGUAUAUGUCUAAAUUAGAAAAUUUAUGCAAAAGGAUGUUUAAAGGAAUGUACUUUGAGUGAGAGACAUCACAUCUAUGGAAUUGUCUUGUAACAAUCUCCGAUAGAGGACUUUGUAAUUUCAUUGGCAAUAGUCAUUGUGACUUUAGUGCAGUGAUAUUAUGAAAGGAUCAUUGCAUAAAAUGUUAGAAUCUAACAUAUUCCAUAAGUGGCAAGAAUUUGAUAUUCUUUCACUUGUGAAAAGGAUUAGGAGUUGUGAAGUGAGUAUGAUUGGAAAUGUGUUCAUUUGAUCUAUUUCACAAAGUAAGAACCAUAGGUAAGCAUUGUGUGCAUGCUAAGAGCAUGGGACAAGUGUGGUAAUAAUUCAAGUAAGAAGUUGAUUACCCAAAACAACAAAUAAUGAGUAAUCGAUAUGGUGAUAAAUAAAAGGUGUUUUUUUUAUACACAAAGGAUUGAGGACAUAUGGGAUUAGUAUUAUUCUUGUGUUUCACUUUGCAUGUUUUGACUUCCUCAAUAAUUUAAUUGGUUUAAGAACAAUCAAAUUAUUCUAACGGGCCACAGUCGUUCAUAUGUUGGAAGUAGGUAUGAGUGAAGACUGUCGUGAAUUGGCGUGUGGAUUGUCUAAAGUGUAUUAGACAUAAGCAAAUGUUUGCUGCAACGUUCAUGAGUGCUUAUGAAUAUGAUUUGAGCAUUGGAUUAAACCCAUGCUCACUUGGAUCACUUCAUGGAUUUUAUCACGAGUGAUUGGUGAGAUGAUAAUAUCUUAUAUUCUUGAAACCUAGAUGUGUGAGUUGUAUCUUGCGAAUCGGUUGCAUAUUGAUAAUAUGUAAACGCACCAAUAACUUGGUAUUAUAAAACAUAUUGUUGUGUGUAAUUCGGUAAGUGAGUGCAAGCGAGCAUUGAAUCAAAGUUUAUCCGUUCCUUUUAUCCAAAGUAGGAUAAAAGCGAUAUAUGUGGGCCCCUCGAUGAUUUAGUGAUGGCACCUAAGUGCUUGGCCAAGCCGGGACUAAAUUAAUGUGUUCAAUUGUAGUCUGUUGUCAGUCGUCAUAAAUCUAAAUUCGGGAAACAACACAUAGACAAAGAGAAUGAUCUAGAUCCAUGUCUCAGUCUAUAUGAUAUCUAGAAUGGAGGAAUAUAUGAUCCCUUAUCUAAAGGACACACGUAUCUGAUAAGAUCAGAGUUGACNGAAAGCUACGAUUGCAGAUCAGGAUCUGAAGUCAUACGCAGAAUAGUUAUUAGACUUAUCCAAGUGGGAGAGUGUUGGAUUAGUGUCUAAGUCCAUAACUAUUUUGGUAUGUACUUGACCCGAUGGUGCAUGGUCCUUUUGGGUUCCCUUCAUCAAAGCAACUUGAUAGGAUGAAUUAUGGAGAGAAAGGAUUAAAUAUGAUUUAUUAAUAUAUUAUGAGAAUAAUAUAUUAAAGGAGAAAUCAUAUUGUUUAACUAAUAUUAGUCAAGAAUUAAAAAAAAUUAAGUUUGUGGCUAAAAGAGAUUAAUUAAACUUAAGGGACUAGAAUAGUAAUUGUAAGAUAAUUCCAAUUGGGCCAUGGAUUACCUUAUAAUAUAAGGGUGGACGAAUUCUAUGGGGAAACCUAUUAGAAAUCCUCCAAGGCCUUUAAGGAAAGGAUUCCAUGGGUUGCUUAGGGCUUAAGCAUCCAAAUUAGGGUUUCCUUGUUAGAUAACCCUAAUAACCUCUCUAUUUAAAGGACCCUUAUGGCUCAAAAACGUAGUGAACUUGUUGAUUAGGGUUUCUACACGUUUUGGGCAGCCUCCUUCUCUUCUCUUCUUCAUCCUCUUGCUCUUGGUGUUUGUGAACCAUUAGAGGAGUGACAUUUGUGACUCUAAGCUUUCUAAAGUCAUUACAAGGAGGAUUUGAGAUUGUUAAUGCUACAUAACAAUCAAGGUAUGAUCUAAACCCUAAUUCAUAUGUUAUAUUGAUUAUCAUAUACUAGAUCUAGGGUUUAUAGUCUUGGAUAAAUUGCAUGUACCAUAGAGAAACCUAGAUCCAAGCAUUAGGUUUUGUAUGAGCACAUAGGAUGUUCUUAUGGCUAAAACCCAUCAGUAUCCUGCGCAACCCUCCUGGAAGUAGCGUCUCGCCCUUGCCGCUGAACAAAAAAUCGAACCUCGUUGUGGCCUCUCGCCCUAAAUCACUAACUCUCCCCUACUUGGAGAGCGAACUCUCACCAGCUGCAGCUCACAAUCAGUCACAGCCCCGUUGGGACUUAACCAAUCCAUUCCUACUAUGACCUUGUUCCCAUGCAGGUGAAGAGGAACCAGAUCAAUCGAGAACUGCUCAUCAAACAUCUAUAGUGUACAUCCCCUGUGAACUCUCGCGACUUUGACAGUCCUGUCAUCUACUAUCUCAACAUCAAGUGGACAAUCUAGCUCUCCUAGAGAUCUACUAAAUCGCUUGCUAAGAGCGAGCGAUACAAAGGGUCGGGUAGCUCCCGAAUCAAACAAUACCGUAGCUGAAAUUGUUGGAUUAGUGUCUAAGUCCAUAACUAUUUUGGUAUGUACUUGACCCGAUUAUGAGCAUGGUCCUUUUGGGUUGCCUUCACCAUAGCAAUAUGUAGGAUGAAUUAAGGAGAGAAAUGUUUAAAUAUGAUUUAUUAAUAUAUUAUGAGAAUAAUAUAUUAAAGCAGAAAUCAUAUUGUUUAAUUAAUAUUAGUCAAGAAUUAAUUUUGUGGCUAAAAGAGAUUACUUAAAUUUAGGGGACUGGACUGUAAUUAUUGGAUAAUUGAGUUACUGGGCUAAGGAAUGCUAAAGGAAUAAGGGGUGAACGAAAUUAUGAUGGGAGCCCAUCAUAUUUUGGUCCAUGGCCUUAUCCAGAAGGUUCCAUGGGCUGCUUAGAGUUUAAGCUGUCCAUUAGGAUUUUGACUGAAACCCUAGCAGCCCACACCAGUACAUAAAGGACCCCUUAGGCCCCAAAAACGUGAACAACUGACUCUCUCGGGUUUCUAGUCGUUUUUUGGGCAGCCUCCUUUCUUCUCCUCUUCAUCCAAGUUGCAUAAGGUGUUUGUGACUCCAUUAGAGGUGCAGCACUUGAAGCACUAAGCUUUCUAAGGCCAAUCCAAGCAAGGAAUUGAUUGUUAUUGCUAUAUAACAAUCAAAGGUAAUUCUCUAAACCCUAAUUCAGUUUAUAAUAUGUUAGAUCUAAGUUUAUUAGUCUUGGAUUCAAAGCAUGUACAAUAGAGAAACCUAGAUCCAAGCAUUAGGGUUUGUAUGAGCACAUAUGAUUGUUUCUUAUGCAUAAAACUCAUCAGUGGUAUCAGAGUCUUGAUUGGUUUCAGUUGUAUGUGAUGCUUAACUGCUUUGUUUGCUUGAAAUCGAGUUUUUGGCCUCUGCCCGACUCAACUCGGCGAGUCAGUAUCUGGACUCGGCUAGUUGGCCCCUACUCGGGGAGUUUAGAGCUGACUCGACGAGUUCGAGCGUCAGACAGAGGGUAUUUCGGGAUUUAACUGCUGUUUUGACUUGGAUCUAAUGCCUAAUUCGUUUUUUUAAGUUAAAAUCUGAAUUUUAUCUUAAAUUAAUGAUUAUCCUUGCCAAAACAAUAGAUAAUUUCAAAUCUUUUAAAUAUUGGUUGUUUAUGUGAUAAAUAUGGAUUAUUUUAAAUUAUUUGGUAAUUAUCUAAUGACUAAAAUAAGAUUAGGUCAAAUAUAGAUAAUGACUAAAUUAAUUGUUUAACUUAUAUUAUUUGUUAUUUGAUCCUUUGUGAUAUGGAAAACUUUCAAUUGCACCCUUUAGGUUUUAUAGUUUAAAUUUGAACUUAAAAGUCCUCUUUAUGAAAUUUAAAUAAGUUAAAACCUAAUGUUUUGAAAUGUUUCAAAAACUUGCCCUCAAGUUUUGGAAUUUAAAAGUUGAUUAAAAGUUUAAUUUUGAAAUGUUAAAUUCUAAAACCCUAGUAAUUUGAAAAGUUCAAAUCACACCCUUAUGGUUUUAUUAAUUAAUUAAAGUGUAUAAUUAAAAGUGAUUUAAUAAACCCAUAAAGUUUUGGUUUACAUUUAAUUAAAUUAAAAGUAUAAUUUUACUAAAUUAAACCACCUAGUAUUUUAAAAGUGUAAAAUACACCCUAUACUAUAUAUAACAUUAAAAGUCUAAUAUUAUAUAUGUAUGAGUAAAAAGUCAGUCUUACCGUUAGUAGGCCUCAUUCACGAAGCUGGUCUAUAAGGGGUGUUUAAGGAAAUUGCCUAUAAAAUGGCGAUUGAAUGGGUAUCCACUCUUACCCACCGCACUCUUGACUAGUGGAGGGUCGUUAGCCGAACGGGUAGGAUAGGACAGAAACCUUCCAUUAUAAGUAUAAUGAAGUACAAAGUAACUAAAUGCUUUUUCAAAUUCCCAAAUCAUAGUUACUUUAGGCAAAAUGUGAAAUUGUAUGCUAACCCAUGGAAUUACACUUCGUACCCUUGUCAAACGUUAGUGGAGCGUGUGUGGUUAACUGGCACACUAAUUUGAGGAUGACAUUGGUGGCGAAGGGUGGAUCGAUGCUUAUCAUAGAUCAAUGGAGCGUGUGUGGCUAACCGGCACAUUGAUUAGGUGAUAGUAGCAUUGGGUGCACCACAUGAUUCGUAUGGUUAUUCACACCUUGUUUGUGAUCCUCGGCAUCCCAGUCACAAAUAGUAGGGCAUAAUCGAGAUUAAACAUGCCAUUGAAAAGUUCAAUGAAUCUCAAAAGAUCUAGGAGUUUCAAUUCAUUUAAAACUUAAACUUCCUUUUCGUUUUUCAUGGUGGAAAUUGGUAAAUCGUCAUUUACCUACCUUCAAAUAUUCUGCAACUAGAUUACGGCAUCCCUCUUCUAGGUUGUAGAGUAUUGUGUUGGAUCCUAGCUUGAUGUUUCAUUUAGGUGUUACAUCAAGAAUUCUAAUCAACAUAACUUGAAUUUUCUCCCGUUUUGUAGAUGACUGAAUCUUAAAAUGGUCUUCCCAAAUCCUUUGGAACAAGCUUUCCAAAUAAAGAUGACAUUUCGAGAUACAAUCAAGGAAAUGAGAGUCAUGCUUCACUUCCUCCACCUCCUCAAAUUGUUCUCCCUGACCCACAAGUUCAAAGGCUUGAAAAGUUCAAGCUCACUCAAGCUCUUUUGGCAAGUAGACACAAAGAUGGGAAACCUGUGCGUGCACACGUCUUAGAGAUGAAGUCACACAUUGAUAGGUUAAGCAUGUUGGGUGUCGAGAUUUCAAGCGAGUUGGCUGUUGACUGGGUUCUUCAGUCACUUCCUGAAUCAUAUAGUGAGUUCGUUAGAGAGUACUAUAUGAUGGACCACGACGUGACCCUAAUUGAUCUCACCUAUUUGCUUAUAGCUGCUGAAUCAGCAAUGAUUUGGCGUGCUGGUCAAGCAAAUUUGUCUGGUGAAUCAAACUCCCAAACUUCAAUGGACACUGGCAACAUUGGAAGUCCAGAAAGAACUAAGUCUGUGAUUGUCCGAUGUGCUGUGCCAAAGGAGUCCAUUUGCUUUUAUUGCCAAGAGAAGGGGCAUUGGAGACGAAGCUGCCCUAACUACCUGAGAGAUCUAAGAGAUGGGAGAGUCAAGACGUAUGGCUCUACUUCAGGUAAAAUCCAUUAUCUAACUCUUUUGAGUUCCUAUUCUAGAUUCUUAAUACAUGAUGUGAUAAGAUUACAUUUUGAUGUUUUGUAGGAUCGAAGAAAAGAGAGGAAGCUUGAGGGAAGAAGUGAGCUGAAUCUAAUCAUGAAGAAAUGGAUUUCGAUCGCAUUACUUGAAGAAUGGAUUCUUGAGCUACUACUUGGAGUUAGAAUAGAUUGUUAAGAAAUAUGUAAUAACAUAGUUUUUCAAUUGAAUUGCAUUGUAAGGACAAAUUUUUUCCGCAAUAAAAUGAAUUUUGAUUUUAUCUUAUUUAUUUAUCCUUGCAAUGGCAUGUAUGAAAAAUUGAUGUUUGAAUGUUUCUAUUAUUAGCAAUAAUGGAUUUGAUUCUUAAUUAUGUUAUUUGUGGAAAUGUCAAAAGUUUACCAAAUAGGGAGAGUUUCUCAUCGCCCAAGUUUCAAUUGGACAGAAACUUGGAAUCAUGCAAUGUGUAUUGUAUGAUGAAUGAAAAACUUUCACAUUUGGGAAACUUAGACUAAUUCUUUGACAAAGUGUCAAUUGAAGGACUAGGAGAUCAAUUGCACUAGUUUGUGCGUUGAUCAAUUCCACCACUAGAGUGACAAAGAUAUUCAUCAUGAUUUACUAAAGUUUAGUAAAUAUGGUUAUACUUAUAAGAUUGAGUAUAAUUCUGAGUUAACUGAAAUAGUUUCAAUCAAUAGCAGAACGAAUAAGAAGAAUCAAGAAGGCAGAAAGAUAAAAGUUUCUCCAUUCUAAGAAGAAGGGAGAGUACCUUUUAUUGUGUUUUAUGAUGAAGUCUUAAUGAUUAAGAACCAUAUCUCAAUUGAUCCUCUAAGUGAGUCUUAGUGCAUUUGCAUGUCUAAGAAGAGGAAUCGAGAAUUGUAGAAAUGGUUAAAUCAAAGAGUCAAUCAUACUUCGUUCCAAUAUCAAGUCUUAGAGUCAUACUCCAAGAUUGUGACAUUGAGUGACAAGUCUUAAGUAGGUUUAUAACACUCAUCAAAUGUGGAAUUUGGAAAAGUUUUCUUAUUCUUGCACAUUAGAAAUUGGUAAGUUGUGAUGUCUUGGAUAAGACAAAGACCAACUAGGACCAAUUUGUGAAGUGUUUUGUCUUGAUAAAUGCUACACUAACUCUUGAAUAUUUGUUUAUCAAGAAAUGUUUCUUCAUAAGAGAAUCCAAUAUGUCAAGGAGUCAGUGGGAGUUUUAAUGUUUUUUGAAAAGUUUUCGAAAACAAAUCAAGAAUAAACCUUAUCGAUCAUCACUAGCACACGACUUGAGGUUUACAACCUAUCGUGUUGACAUUAUUUUGUUUCUGUGCCAUUCCAAUUGAGUUAAUUGUGUAUGUGAGUUCUAUGAGUUCUCAUUUGAAUGCAUACUAGAGCCUUAGUCGAUGGAAAGUACAUUGAUAUGUAAGGACAAGUUACUAAACUACUUGGAAGACAUGGUGGGCACUCGUGUUACCAUAAGGCAAGAAAUCAAGAUUAAGAAAGUUCAGUCCAUAUGAGUUUGGAUUUGUCGCAAACCUUGGUUUUGGCAAAUUCACAUGGAUAGGAACUCAUACACCAUAAAAUCUAAGUGUCAUAAGAUUCCCUCCUUCAUGAAAAUGACUGUGAGGAAAUGCUUUCACUAAGAGAGAUUUUAAGAAGAUAGCAAUUGUGAAAAUUGUAUUCUCAAAUUCGAUUAUGGUUACGGCAUCCCUUUCCAUAGUUCGAAUUAUGAGAUUUGGCAAUUAGUUUCAACAUUUGGAACUUAGUAACAUAAGUUCUGAAUUGUUUAAACACACAUAUGAGCUAUCUAAGACAAAGGUGUAUAAGGUUAAGGAGCUUAGAUAAAGGCUUAUCGAAGCAUCUGGUAUUAGAAAUAUGAGUUUCAGAAAUUCAAUAGGCAUUAUUUUCUGAAAGAUCAUUUGUUUUCUGAAUACAUGUCAAAGCUAGUGGGAGCAUAAGUGUUAUGCUUAUAUGAUAAUAAUCAUCAUGAUAGUGGGAACAUAAGUGUUAUGCUUGUAUGAUUAUUAUGGCAAGUAUUGCAAGUUAGCAAUAUUAAUUAUAGAAAAACAAAGAUUCAAUUUGCAAAGUUGCAUGGGUUGAAAAGUUGUUUUGCUAUAAUUAAGGGAGAGAAUAUUAUACUUCAUUUCAAAAUCUAAAGCUUAGAUUGAGAAAUUUUAAUAUUUUCAGUCAAAGGAUACAUUGUGUGUUCUUAAAAUUCGAUUAUGAUUACGGCAUCCCUCUUCAUAGUUCGAAUUGUGAGAACAUGACACAUAAAAUAUUAUGGCAAAAGAUUGGUAAAGUAUCAUAUCUUUAUGUAAGACAUUAUGCAUCGUGUCCCAUACGCUUCGGGUAUAGGAUCGAUUGCAAAUGCUAUAAUAUUUUACCAUUCUAAAAUUUUCCAAAUGUCUAGCGCAUUAAGAGGGAAAAAGGACUAGAAUUGGUUUUGACUAAAAUAAUUAAACAACUAUCAAAGGACGAUCCAAAGUUCGCUGAGGAUUGGUCGCUUGUGAGUAGUUGAAAGUAUGGUAUUGGAUGGACCAUAUCGACAUUAUUAUGAAUAGAUAAGAUUCUAUUAAGAAUGAGUUGUCAUAUGGCAAAUGUGGAAAUGUUUCCAUAUU
RNAcentral lists this long non-coding RNA (8473 nucleotides) under Lactuca sativa (garden lettuce). RNAcentral describes it as "long non-coding RNA (LSAT_LNC000712)". Lineage: Eukaryota; Viridiplantae; Streptophyta; Magnoliopsida; Asterales; Asteraceae. The record is from RNAcentral.